This 240-nucleotide unclassified non-coding RNA is filed under the name soil metagenome. RNAcentral's name for it is "partial contains 5.8S ribosomal RNA, internal transcribed spacer 2, and large subunit ribosomal RNA". The record is from RNAcentral.
AACGCACGAGACCUGCGGACCUGCGGAGGGAUCAUUAUUGAAUUUGCCUUGAUGGGUUGUUGCUGGCCUUUCGAGGCACUGUGCACGCCUGUCUUGACUCUAUUCAUCCACCUGUGCACUUAUUGUAGUCCUGUGCUCAUUCGGGGGUCAAGAAAGCAGAGCUUAUUGUUCAGUUGAAACAUAUUGGAUGUGAGGAUUGCCUUCCUGGCUUUCUUCUACUUAGCUCUGUGGAAUUGCGCU